RNAcentral lists this ribosomal RNA (301 nucleotides) under uncultured bacterium. RNAcentral describes it as "bacterial SSU rRNA". It matches the Rfam family "Bacterial small subunit ribosomal RNA", at positions 333 to 651 of the family's 1533-position model. The record is from RNAcentral.
GGGAACCUACGGGGGGCAGCAGUGAGGGAUAUUGGUCAAUGGGGGAAACCCUGAACCAGCAACGCCGCGUGAGGGAAGACGGUUUUCGGAUUGUAAACCUCUGUCCUCUGUGAAGAUAAUGACGGUAGCAGAGGAGGAAGCUCCGGCUAACUACGUGCCAGCAGCCGCGGUAAUACGUAGGGAGCGAGCGUUGUCCGGAUUUACUGGGUGUAAAGGGUGCGUAGGCGGGUAAGCAAGUCAGAAGGGAAAUUCAUGGGCUUAACCCAUGGACUGCUUUUGAAACUGGUUGUUUUGAGUGAAG